Long non-coding RNA from Mizuhopecten yessoensis (Yesso scallop), 484 nucleotides. RefSeq lists it as uncharacterized. The record is from RefSeq and is a predicted model, not a curated record. NCBI's taxonomy places the organism in Eukaryota, Metazoa, Mollusca, Bivalvia, Pectinida, Pectinidae. The transcript has 2 exons.
ACUUGCUAAAUGACCCGCAUUCUGCGGGUCACACCCGCAAAAUGAACCUAUCACCCGCGACGAUCUUAUGACCCGCGCGGGUCAUACGUAUCUCCCGCAUUCCGUAGAUAUGACCCGCAAUCACCCGCAUCCGCGUCUUUUAUUAGGAUCUCCGUACUUCCGGAAAUGUUCCGUUCGUGUCUCUCGGAAGUUUAGCUUUCAGUUAUAGGUAAAGUCCGUAUACUAAGUUAUUUGUUUUCACAAUGGCGUCCCUGUUUCGGAACCAGCCUGGCAAAUUCAAAAGUGGGUAAUGCUGACUCUGAGAGAACAUUUUCCAUGCUGAAGAAGAUCCAGACAGAAGGGAGAUCUGAAUUAGGAAAUGAUACAAUAUGUGCUUUGUUAUGUGCAAAACUAAAUCAACAUGGUUCAUGCUUUCAGUAUGCACCUAGGAAAAGAAAAACAUGUAUAUUGAUUAAGAAUAUGUAAUAAAACAAUGAAGGUGUGA